Non-coding RNA from Mesocricetus auratus (golden hamster), 753 nucleotides. The record is from the annotation of a RefSeq genome assembly. Lineage: Eukaryota; Metazoa; Chordata; Mammalia; Rodentia; Cricetidae.
AGAGCCUCCUACAGCAGGAAGACAUGCAAAUAAGGCUCCUCUGUGCCCAUGAAAGCCAGCCCUGCCCUGACCCUGCAGCUCUGGCAGAGGAGCCCAGAUCUGGAUUCCUGGGUCCUCCCAUUCUGUGAUCAGCACUUAACACAAGCCACUCAUCAUGGACUCGAGGCUUAUGUGGCUUUGUCUUAUUCUUUUUUUAAAAGGAGUCCAUUGUGAGGUGCAGCUGGUGGAGUCUGGGGGAGGCUUAGAGCAGCCUGGAAAGUCCCUGAAACUCUCCUGUGCAGCCUCUGGAUUCACCUUCAGUAGCUACGAGAUGAGCUGGGUGCGCCAGGCUUCAGGCAAGGGGCUGAAGUGGGUCGCAUACAUUAGUUUUGGCAGUGGUACCAUCAAGUAUGCCGACGCGGUGAAGGGCCGGUUCAGCAUCUCCAGGGACAAUGCCAAGAACACCCUGUACCUGCAAAUGAACAGUCUCAAGUCUGAGGACACAGCCAUGUAUUACUGUGCAAGGGACACAGUGAGUGAACACUGCUGAGAGCUCAGACACAAACCUCCCUGUAGGAAAUUUGGAACCAGCAGGGGGCGAUCAGAGCCCAGAAAGCUCUGGUCACAUAGGAGCCUGUUCAGACAGGCAAACCGGGCUGGACUCCUCUCUGUCAAGGCUUCCUCUCCACACCACACUCAGCGCUUCUCUCUACAGUUGUAAUGUGUAGUAAUUCAACAAGAGCCCUAAUAUCUAUUAUACAUUUUCCGUUGGAA